UUUGCAAUGCAAUUUUACAGUAGACCUUAGAAGUGAGGACAGUCUUUGUGUGCUUGCAUUGCAAAGG
MicroRNA precursor from Gallus gallus (chicken), 67 nucleotides. NCBI's taxonomy places the organism in Eukaryota, Metazoa, Chordata, Aves, Galliformes, Phasianidae. The record is from Ensembl.